Molecule: ribosomal RNA, 1081 nt
Filed under: uncultured bacterium
Lineage: Bacteria
Description: bacterial SSU rRNA
Rfam family: Bacterial small subunit ribosomal RNA
Source: RNAcentral
CUCCUACGGGAGGCUGCAGUCGAGAAUCUUUCGCAAUGCCCGGAAGGGUGACGAAGCGACGCCGCGUGUGGGAAGAAGGCCUUCGGGUUGUAAACCACUGUCGGGAGUUAAGAAGUGUAAGGGGGUGAAUAGCCCUCUUACUUGACGUUAGCUCCGGAGGAAGCCACGGCUAACUCUGUGCCAGCAGCCGCGGUAAUACAGAGGUGGCAAGCGUUGUUCGGAAUUAUUGGGCGUAAAGAGCACGUAGGCGGCCCUACAAGUCAGCUGUGAAAUCCUUCUGCUCAACGGAAGAACGGCAGUUGAUACUAUAGGGCUGGAGUGCGGGAGGGGAGAGUGGAACUUCUGGUGGAGCGGUGAAAUGCGUAGAUAUCAGAAGGAACAUCGGCGGCGAAAGCGACUCUCUGGCCCGUAACUGACGCUGAGGUGCGAAAGCUAGGGGAGCAAACGGGAUUAGAUACCCCGGUAGUCCUAGCCGUAAACGAUGGGCACUCGGUAGAGGGGUUUUGAUUAUCUCUCUGCCUGAGCUAACGCGUUAAGUGCCCCGCCUGGGGAGUACGGCCGCAAGGCUAAAACUCAAAAGAAUUGACGGGGGCUCGCACAAGCGGUGGAGCAUGUGGCUUAAUUCGAUGCAACACGAAGAACCUUACCGGGGCUUGACAUGGUAGAAGUAGGAGCCCGAAAGGGUAACGAACGGUAUCCAGUCCGUAGCUAUCACAGGUGUUGCAUGGCUGUCGUCAGCUCGUGUCGUGAGACGUUGGGUUAAGUCCCCUAACGAGCGAAACCCUUGUCUUUAGUUGCCAACAGGUCAAGCUGGGCACUCUAAAGAGACUGCUGUCGUCAAGACGGAGGAAGGUGGGGAUGACGUCAAGUCAUCAUGGCCCUUAUGUCCCGGGCUGCACACGUGCUACAAUGGUCGGUACAAAGGGAUGCCAAGUCGCAAGACGGAGCGAAACCCAAAUAAAGCCGAUCCCAGUUCAGAUUGGAGGCUGAAACCCGCCUCCAUGAAGUAGGAAUCGCUAGUAAUCGCGGAUCAGCUAUGCCGCGGUGAAUAUGUUCCCGAGCCUUGAUCACACCGCCCGUC